RNAcentral lists this ribosomal RNA (497 nucleotides) under uncultured bacterium. RNAcentral describes it as "partial 16S ribosomal RNA". It matches the Rfam family "Bacterial small subunit ribosomal RNA", at positions 28 to 507 of the family's 1533-position model. The record is from RNAcentral.
GAUGAACGCUGGCGGCGUGCCUAAUACAUGCCAGUCGAGCGAACGGACGAGAAGCUUGCUUCUCUGAUGUUAGCGGCGGACGGGUGAGUAACACGUGGAUAACCUACCUAUAAGACUGGGAUAACUUCGGGAAACCGGAGCUAAUACCGGAUAAUAUUUUGAACCGCAUGGUUCAAAAGUGAAAGACGGUCUUGCUGUCACUUAUAGAUGGAUCCGCGCUGCAUUAGCUAGUUGGUAAGGUAACGGCUUACCAAGGCAACGAUGCAUAGCCGACCUGAGAGGGGGAUCGGCCACACUGGAACUGAGACACGGUCCAGACUCCUACGGGAGGCAGCAGUAGGGAAUCUUCCGCAAUGGGCGAAAGCCUGACGGAGCAACGCCGCGUGAGUGAUGAAGGUCUUCGGAUCGUAAAACUCUGUUAUUAGGGAAGAACAUAUGUGUAAGUAACUGUGCACAUCUUGACGGUACCUAAUCAGAAAGCCACGGCUAACUACGUG